This 481-nucleotide ribosomal RNA is filed under the name uncultured bacterium. RNAcentral describes it as "partial 16S ribosomal RNA". It matches the Rfam family "Bacterial small subunit ribosomal RNA", at positions 28 to 523 of the family's 1533-position model. The record is from RNAcentral.
GACGAAUGCUGGCUGCGUGCUUAACACAUGCAAGUCGAACGGUGAAAGGGAGCUUGCUCCCUGGAUCAGUGGCGAACGGGUGAGUAACACGUGGGCAACCUGCCCCUCACUCUGGGAUAACUCCGGGAAACCGGGGCUAAUACCGGAUACGACCUGGUGCGACAUCGCACCGGGUGGAAAGAACUUCGGUGAGGGAUGGGCCCGCGGCCUAACAGGUUGUUGGUGGGGUAACGGCCCACCAAGGCGACGACGGGUAGCCGGCCUGAGAGGGCGACCGGCCACACUGGGACUGAGACACGGCCCAGACUCCUACGGGAGACAGCAGUGGGGAAUAUUGCGCAAUGGGCGAAAGCCUGACGCAGCGACGCAGCGUGAGGGACGAAGGCCUUCGGGUUGUAAACCUCUUUCAGCGGGGACGAAGCAAAAGUGACGGUACCCGCAGAAGAAGCACCGGCUAACUACGUGCCAGCCGCCGCGGUAA